GACGAACGCUGGCGGCGUGCUUAACACAUGCAAGUCGAGCGGUAAGGCCCUUUCGGGGGUACACGAGCGGCGAACGGGUGAGUAACACGUGGGUGACCUGCCCUCAGCUCUGGGAUAAGCCUGGGAAACUGGGUCUAAUACUGGAUAUGACUCCACGGUGCAUGUCGUGGGGUGGAAAGCCUUGUGCGGCUGAGGAUGGGCCCGCGGCCUAUCAGCUUGUUGGUGGGGUGANGGCCUACCAAGGCGACGACGGGUAGCCGGCCUGAGAGGGCGACCGGCCACACUGGGACUGAGACACGGCCCAGACUCCUACGGGAGGCAGCAGUGGGGAAUCUUGCGCAAAUGGGCGAAAAGCCUGACGCAGCGACGCCGCGUGAGGG
This 380-nucleotide ribosomal RNA is filed under the name uncultured bacterium. RNAcentral describes it as "bacterial SSU rRNA". It matches the Rfam family "Bacterial small subunit ribosomal RNA", at positions 28 to 407 of the family's 1533-position model. The record is from RNAcentral.